Molecule: ribosomal RNA, 2903 nt
Filed under: Escherichia coli
Lineage: Bacteria; Pseudomonadati; Pseudomonadota; Gammaproteobacteria; Enterobacterales; Enterobacteriaceae
Description: 23S ribosomal RNA
Rfam family: Bacterial large subunit ribosomal RNA
Source: RNAcentral
GGUUAAGCGACUAAGCGUACACGGUGGAUGCCCUGGCAGUCAGAGGCGAUGAAGGACGUGCUAAUCUGCGAUAAGCGUCGGUAAGGUGAUAUGAACCGUUAUAACCGGCGAUUUCCGAAUGGGGAAACCCAGUGUGUUUCGACACACUAUCAUUAACUGAAUCCAUAGGUUAAUGAGGCGAACCGGGGGAACUGAAACAUCUAAGUACCCCGAGGAAAAGAAAUCAACCGAGAUUCCCCCAGUAGCGGCGAGCGAACGGGGAGCAGCCCAGAGCCUGAAUCAGUGUGUGUGUUAGUGGAAGCGUCUGGAAAGGCGCGCGAUACAGGGUGACAGCCCCGUACACAAAAAUGCACAUGCUGUGAGCUCGAUGAGUAGGGCGGGACACGUGGUAUCCUGUCUGAAUAUGGGGGGACCAUCCUCCAAGGCUAAAUACUCCUGACUGACCGAUAGUGAACCAGUACCGUGAGGGAAAGGCGAAAAGAACCCCGGCGAGGGGAGUGAAAAAGAACCUGAAACCGUGUACGUACAAGCAGUGGGAGCACGCUUAGGCGUGUGACUGCGUACCUUUUGUAUAAUGGGUCAGCGACUUAUAUUCUGUAGCAAGGUUAACCGAAUAGGGGAGCCGAAGGGAAACCGAGUCUUAACUGGGCGUUAAGUUGCAGGGUAUAGACCCGAAACCCGGUGAUCUAGCCAUGGGCAGGUUGAAGGUUGGGUAACACUAACUGGAGGACCGAACCGACUAAUGUUGAAAAAUUAGCGGAUGACUUGUGGCUGGGGGUGAAAGGCCAAUCAAACCGGGAGAUAGCUGGUUCUCCCCGAAAGCUAUUUAGGUAGCGCCUCGUGAAUUCAUCUCCGGGGGUAGAGCACUGUUUCGGCAAGGGGGUCAUCCCGACUUACCAACCCGAUGCAAACUGCGAAUACCGGAGAAUGUUAUCACGGGAGACACACGGCGGGUGCUAACGUCCGUCGUGAAGAGGGAAACAACCCAGACCGCCAGCUAAGGUCCCAAAGUCAUGGUUAAGUGGGAAACGAUGUGGGAAGGCCCAGACAGCCAGGAUGUUGGCUUAGAAGCAGCCAUCAUUUAAAGAAAGCGUAAUAGCUCACUGGUCGAGUCGGCCUGCGCGGAAGAUGUAACGGGGCUAAACCAUGCACCGAAGCUGCGGCAGCGACACUAUGUGUUGUUGGGUAGGGGAGCGUUCUGUAAGCCUGUGAAGGUGUGCUGUGAGGCAUGCUGGAGGUAUCAGAAGUGCGAAUGCUGACAUAAGUAACGAUAAAGCGGGUGAAAAGCCCGCUCGCCGGAAGACCAAGGGUUCCUGUCCAACGUUAAUCGGGGCAGGGUGAGUCGACCCCUAAGGCGAGGCCGAAAGGCGUAGUCGAUGGGAAACAGGUUAAUAUUCCUGUACUUGGUGUUACUGCGAAGGGGGGACGGAGAAGGCUAUGUUGGCCGGGCGACGGUUGUCCCGGUUUAAGCGUGUAGGCUGGUUUUCCAGGCAAAUCCGGAAAAUCAAGGCUGAGGCGUGAUGACGAGGCACUACGGUGCUGAAGCAACAAAUGCCCUGCUUCCAGGAAAAGCCUCUAAGCAUCAGGUAACAUCAAAUCGUACCCCAAACCGACACAGGUGGUCAGGUAGAGAAUACCAAGGCGCUUGAGAGAACUCGGGUGAAGGAACUAGGCAAAAUGGUGCCGUAACUUCGGGAGAAGGCACGCUGAUAUGUAGGUGAAGUCCCUCGCGGAUGGAGCUGAAAUCAGUCGAAGAUACCAGCUGGCUGCAACUGUUUAUUAAAAACACAGCACUGUGCAAACACGAAAGUGGACGUAUACGGUGUGACGCCUGCCCGGUGCCGGAAGGUUAAUUGAUGGGGUCAGCGCAAGCGAAGCUCUUGAUCGAAGCCCCGGUAAACGGCGGCCGUAACUAUAACGGUCCUAAGGUAGCGAAAUUCCUUGUCGGGUAAGUUCCGACCUGCACGAAUGGCGUAAUGAUGGCCAGGCUGUCUCCACCCGAGACUCAGUGAAAUUGAACUCGCUGUGAAGAUGCAGUGUACCCGCGGCAAGACGGAAAGACCCCGUGAACCUUUACUAUAGCUUGACACUGAACAUUGAGCCUUGAUGUGUAGGAUAGGUGGGAGGCUUUGAAGUGUGGACGCCAGUCUGCAUGGAGCCGACCUUGAAAUACCACCCUUUAAUGUUUGAUGUUCUAACGUUGACCCGUGAUCCGGGUUGCGGACAGUGUCUGGUGGGUAGUUUGACUGGGGCGGUCUCCUCCUAAAGAGUAACGGAGGAGCACGAAGGUUGGCUAAUCCUGGUCGGACAUCAGGAGGUUAGUGCAAUGGCAUAAGCCAGCUUGACUGCGAGCGUGACGGCGCGAGCAGGUGCGAAAGCAGGUCAUAGUGAUCCGGUGGUUCUGAAUGGAAGGGCCAUCGCUCAACGGAUAAAAGGUACUCCGGGGAUAACAGGCUGAUACCGCCCAAGAGUUCAUAUCGACGGCGGUGUUUGGCACCUCGAUGUCGGCUCAUCACAUCCUGGGGCUGAAGUAGGUCCCAAGGGUAUGGCUGUUCGCCAUUUAAAGUGGUACGCGAGCUGGGUUUAGAACGUCGUGAGACAGUUCGGUCCCUAUCUGCCGUGGGCGCUGGAGAACUGAGGGGGGCUGCUCCUAGUACGAGAGGACCGGAGUGGACGCAUCACUGGUGUUCGGGUUGUCAUGCCAAUGGCACUGCCCGGUAGCUAAAUGCGGAAGAGAUAAGUGCUGAAAGCAUCUAAGCACGAAACUUGCCCCGAGAUGAGUUCUCCCUGACUCCUUGAGAGUCCUGAAGGAACGUUGAAGACGACGACGUUGAUAGGCCGGGUGUGUAAGCGCAGCGAUGCGUUGAGCUAACCGGUACUAAUGAACCGUGAGGCUUAACCUU